CAUUACCGAGUUAUUCAACUCAUCAACCCUGUGAACAUACCUAAACGUUGCUUCGGCGGGAACAGACGGCCCCGUGAAACGGGCCGCCCCCGCCAGAGGACCCCUAACUCUGUUUCUAUAAUGUUUCUUCUGAGUAAAACAAGCAAAUAAAUUAAAACUUUCAACAACGGAUCUCUUGGCUCUGGCAUCGAUGAAGAACGCAGCGAAAUGCGAUAAGUAAUGUGAAUUGCAGAAUUCAGUGAAUCAUCGAAUCUUUGAACGCACAUUGCGCCCGCCAGUAUUCUGGCGGGCAUGCCUGUUCGAGCGUCAUUACAACCCUCAGGCCCCCGGGCCUGGCGUUGGGGAUCGGCGGAGCCCCCCGUGGGCACACGCCGUCCCCCAAAUACAGUGGCGGUCCCGCCGCAGCUUCCAUCGCGUAGUAGCUAACACCUCGCGACUGGAGAGCGGCGCGGCCACGCCGUAAAACACCCAACUCUUCUGAAGUUGACCUCGAAUCAGGUAGGAAUACCCGC
RNAcentral lists this ribosomal RNA (512 nucleotides) under Fusarium sp. SIN76. RNAcentral's name for it is "eukaryotic LSU rRNA". The stretch from base 156 to 309 matches the Rfam family "5.8S ribosomal RNA". The record is from RNAcentral. Lineage: Eukaryota; Fungi; Ascomycota; Sordariomycetes; Hypocreales; Nectriaceae.